CUGGCGGCGUGCCUAACACAUGCAAGUCGAGCGGGACAUUCGACGGACCGGAAGUUUCGAAUGGAAGGGAAGAUGAAUGUUCUAGCGGCGGACGGGUGAGUAACGCGUGAGCAACCUGUCCUUCACAGGGGGAUAACACAGCGAAAGUUGUACUAAUACCGUAUAAGACCACGGCGGGGCAUCCCGAAGGGGUCAAAGGAGCAAUCCGGUGAAGGGUGGGCUCGCGUCCGAUUAGAUAGUUGGUGAGGUAACGGCCCACCAAGUCGACGAUCGGUAGCCGACCUGAGAGGGUGAUCGGCCACAUUGGGACUGAGACACGGCCCAAACUCCUACGGGAGGCAGCAGUGGGGAAUAUUGGGCAAAUGGGGGAAACCCUGACCCAGCAACGCCGCGUGAGGGAAGAAGGUUUUCGGAUCGUAAACCUCUGUCCUUGGUGAAGAGGAAGAGACGGUAGCCAAGGAGGAAGCCCCGGCUAACUACGUGCCAGCCGCGGC
This 494-nucleotide ribosomal RNA is filed under the name uncultured bacterium. RNAcentral's name for it is "bacterial SSU rRNA". It matches the Rfam family "Bacterial small subunit ribosomal RNA", at positions 36 to 518 of the family's 1533-position model. The record is from RNAcentral.